CUGGAGCCCGGCAGCGCGUGCCUCGUCCUCGGCCCGCGCGCGCUUCCGGCGCUCCAGGGCGGAGCAGCCAGUAGCGGCCCCCGGUGGGGAUCCGCCCCCCCUACAGCUGGGAUAAGCUUUCCACCAUUUUGAUGCAACAAACUGUUACUGGGCUUCUUUGCAAACAGCUUGAUAGUAGAAAUCUGCAUCUUGUGUUAUAUGGCACUCAAGCCUAUCCCUUGUCACAGAUUUUCCCCCUUUAUAGCUGCAAGAGGAACAUGGCAUGAACACAGUAAUGUACAGAAACAAACAAGUUCAGAAUGUGGCCAUCUGUCUAGAUUUUGUCAAUUCUUAGCUAAUUUUUAAACAUUCUUUUGUAAGAUAUCCUAGUUAACAAAAGUAAAGAA
Mauremys mutica (yellowpond turtle) is the source of this 386-nucleotide long non-coding RNA. RefSeq lists it as uncharacterized. The transcript has 3 exons. The record is from RefSeq and is a predicted model, not a curated record. NCBI's taxonomy places the organism in Eukaryota, Metazoa, Chordata, Testudines, Geoemydidae.